AGCUCGUGUCGUGAGGAUGUUGGGUUAAGUCCCGCAACGAGCGCAACCCUCGUCCUAUGUUGCCAGCGGGUCAUGCCGGGGACUCAUGGGAGACUGCCGGGGUCAACUCGGAGGAAGUGGGAUGACGUCAAAUCAUCAUGCCCCUUAUGUCUUGGGCUUCACGCAUGCUACAAUGGCCGGUACAAAGGGCUGCGAUACCGCGAGGUGGAGCGAAUCCCAGAAAGCCGGUCUCAGUUCGGAUUGGGGUCUGCAACUCGACCCCAUGAAGUCGGAGUCGCUAGUAAUCGCAGAUCAGCAACGCUGCGGUGAAUACGUUCCCGGGCCUU
RNAcentral lists this ribosomal RNA (326 nucleotides) under uncultured Cellulomonas sp. RNAcentral describes it as "bacterial SSU rRNA". It matches the Rfam family "Bacterial small subunit ribosomal RNA", at positions 1057 to 1382 of the family's 1533-position model. The record is from RNAcentral. Lineage: Bacteria; Bacillati; Actinomycetota; Actinomycetes; Micrococcales; Cellulomonadaceae.